UUAUCGUUUAUUUGAUAUUGCCUAUCCUACAUGGAUAACAGUGGUAAUUCUAGAGCUAAUACAUGCUGAAAAUCCCAACUUCGGAAGGGACGUAUUUAUUAGAAUCAGAACCAAUGCCCUUCGGGGUUCCUUGGUGAAUCAUGAUAACUCCACAGAUCGCAUGGCCUUGCGCCGGCGAUGGCUCAUUCAAAUUUCUUCCCUAUCAACUUUCGACGGUACGGUCUUGGCCUACCGUGGUUGCAACGGGUGACGGAGGGUUAGGGCUCGACCCCGGAGAAGGAGCCUGAGAAACGGCUACUACAUCCAAGGAAGGCAGCAGGCGCGCAAAUUAUCCAAUCCCGACUCGGGGAGAUAGUGACAAUAAAUACCGAUACAGGGCUCUUUUGGGCCCUGUAAUUGGAAUGAGUACAAUUCAAACCUCUUAACGAGGAACAAUUGGAGGGCAAGUCUGGUGCCAGCAGCCGCGGUAAUUCCAGCUCCAAUAGCGUAUAUUAAAGUUGUUGUGGUUAAAAAGCUCGUAGUCGAACCUCGAGCCUGGCCGGCCGGUCCGCCUCACCGCGUGCACUGGUCUGGCCGGGCUCUUCCCUCUGCGGAACCGCAUGCCCUUCACUGGGCGUGUCGGGGAGGCAGGACUUUUACUUUGAAAAAAUUAGAGUGCUCAAGGCAGGCCAAUGCUCGGAUACAUUAGCAUGGAAUAAUAGAAUAGGACGUUGGUUCUAUUUUGUUGGUUUCUAGGACCGCCGUAAUGAUCA
Molecule: ribosomal RNA, 752 nt
Filed under: Pleurothecium pulneyense
Lineage: Eukaryota; Fungi; Ascomycota; Sordariomycetes; Pleurotheciales; Pleurotheciaceae
Description: SSU rRNA
Rfam family: Eukaryotic small subunit ribosomal RNA
Source: RNAcentral